Molecule: ribosomal RNA, 976 nt
Filed under: Bacillus sp. (in: firmicutes)
Lineage: Bacteria; Bacillati; Bacillota; Bacilli; Caryophanales; Bacillaceae
Description: bacterial SSU rRNA
Rfam family: Bacterial small subunit ribosomal RNA
Source: RNAcentral
AUCUUCAUUAGCUUGCUUUUGAAGAUCAGCGGCGGACGGGUGAGUAACACGUGGGCAACCUGCCUGUAAGACUGGGAUAACUUCGGGAAACCGGAGCUAAUACCGGAUAAUCCUUUCCCUCACAUGAGGGAAAGCUGAAAGACGGUUUCGGCUGUCACUUACAGAUGGGCCCGCGGCGCAUUAGCUAGUUGGUGAGGUAACGGCUCACCAAGGCAACGAUGCGUAGCCGACCUGAGAGGGUGAUCGGCCACACUGGGACUGAGACACGGCCCAGACUCCUACGGGAGGCAGCAGUAGGGAAUCUUCCGCAAUGGACGAAAGUCUGACGGAGCAACGCCGCGUGAGCGAUGAAGGCCUUCGGGUCGUAAAGCUCUGUUGUCAGGGAAGAACAAGUACCGGAGUAACUGCCGGUACCUUGACGGUACCUGACCAGAAAGCCACGGCUAACUACGUGCCAGCAGCCGCGGUAAUACGUAGGUGGCAAGCGUUGUCCGGAAUUAUUGGGCGUAAAGCGCGCGCAGGCGGUUCCUUAAGUCUGAUGUGAAAGCCCCCGGCUCAACCGGGGAGGGUCAUUGGAAACUGGGGAACUUGAGUGCAGAAGAGGAGAGCGGAAUUCCACGUGUAGCGGUGAAAUGCGUAGAGAUGUGGAGGAACACCAGUGGCGAAGGCGGCUCUCUGGUCUGUAACUGACGCUGAGGCGCGAAAGCGUGGGGAGCGAACAGGAUUAGAUACCCUGGUAGUCCACGCCGUAAACGAUGAGUGCUAAGUGUUAGAGGGUUUCCGCCCUUUAGUGCUGCAGCAAACGCAUUAAGCACUCCGCCUGGGGAGUACGGCCGCAAGGCUGAAACUCAAAGGAAUUGACGGGGGCCCGCACAAGCGGUGGAGCAUGUGGUUUAAUUCGAAGCAACGCGAAGAACCUUACCAGGUCUUGACAUCCUCUGACAACCCUAGAGAUAGGGCGUUCCCCUUCGGGGGA